CAGUCGCCACGGGAAUACGUAGGGUGCAAGCGUUAAUCGGAAUUACUGGGCGUAAAGCGUGCGCAGGCGGUUAUAUAAGACAGAUGUGAAAUCCCCGGGCUCAACCUGGGAACUGCAUUUGUGACUGUAUAGCUAGAGUACGGCAGAGGGGGAUGGAAUUCCGCGUGUAGCAGUGAAAUGCGUAGAUAUGCGGAGGAACACCGAUGGCGAAGGCAAUCCCCUGGGCCUGUACUGACGCUCAUGCACGAAAGCGUGGGGAGCAAACAGGAUUAGAUACCCGGGUAGUCCCUGUCUCUUAUAA
This 301-nucleotide ribosomal RNA is filed under the name uncultured bacterium. Its description in RNAcentral is "partial 16S ribosomal RNA". It matches the Rfam family "Bacterial small subunit ribosomal RNA", at positions 509 to 809 of the family's 1533-position model. The record is from RNAcentral.